Molecule: ribosomal RNA, 257 nt
Filed under: uncultured Funneliformis
Lineage: Eukaryota; Fungi; Glomeromycota; Glomeromycetes; Glomerales; Glomeraceae
Description: partial large subunit ribosomal RNA
Rfam family: Eukaryotic large subunit ribosomal RNA
Source: RNAcentral
GAAAGAUGAAAAGAACUUUGAAAAGAGAGUUAAACAGUACGUGAAAUUGUUGAAAGGGAAACGAUUGAAGUCAGUCAUACCAACGGGAAAUCAACCUUUUGAGCUUGGUCUCGUGGGUUUUGAAGAGUUUCAAAGCCUUCGGAUUCGCGAGAUUGGGAUCUCUUGGUGUACUUUUUCGUACGGUUAGUCAACAUCGGUUUUGAAUGUCAUAAAAUGACUGGAGGAAUGUAGCUUCGAUCUCGUAUUGAAGUGUUAUA